RNAcentral lists this small nuclear RNA (325 nucleotides) under Felis catus (domestic cat). Its description in RNAcentral is "7SK RNA". It matches the Rfam family "7SK RNA". From Rfam's summary of the family: 7SK was discovered as an abundant small nuclear RNA in the mid-70s but a possible function has only recently been suggested. Two independent studies have found that 7SK RNA binds the CDK9/cyclin T complex (known as elongation factor P-TEFb). P-TEFb activates transcription by phosphorylating the C-terminal domain of RNA polymerase II. The record is from Rfam by way of RNAcentral. Lineage: Eukaryota; Metazoa; Chordata; Mammalia; Carnivora; Felidae.
GGUUGUGAGGGCCAUCUGGCUGCGACAUCUGUCACCCCAUUGAUCUCCAGGGUUGAUUGAGCUGAUCUGGCUGGCUAGGUGGGUGUCCCCUUCCUCCCUCACCGCUCCAUGUGCAUCCCUCCUGAAGCUGUGGUCUCAGUCACAGAGGACAACUUUCGCCGGUAGAGGACCGUUCUUGGGUCAAGGAUGUCGGAGUAGCUGCACCUCCCUGAGCCUCCACACAAGCUCUCAAGAUCCAUUUGUUGUAGGAGAACGUAGGGUGGUCAGGCUUCCAAUACUAGAUACAUCCAAAUGAAACACUGCAUGCGGCAGCCUACCUUUCUUU